UACGGGGGGGGUAAGCGUUGUUCGGAAUUACUGGGCGUAAAGGGCUCGUAGGCGGCCAACUAAGUCAUACGUGAAAUCCCUCAGCUUAACUGGGGAACUGCGUGUGAUACUGGAUGGCUUGGAUUUGGGAGAGGGAUGCGGAAUUCCAGGUGUAGCGGUGAAAUGCGUAGAUAUCUGGAGGAACACCGGUGGCGAAGGCGCCACUCUGGGCCGGUACUGACGCUGAGGAGCGAAAGCGUGGGUAGCAAACAGG
RNAcentral lists this ribosomal RNA (253 nucleotides) under uncultured bacterium. RNAcentral's name for it is "partial 16S ribosomal RNA". It matches the Rfam family "Bacterial small subunit ribosomal RNA", at positions 524 to 776 of the family's 1533-position model. The record is from RNAcentral.